GCCAGCAUGGUAUAGUGGUUUGAGCACUGGACUAUAAAUCUGGAGAUCAGGGUUUGAUUCCCUGUUUGGGCA
This is a non-coding RNA of Phrynosoma platyrhinos (Desert horned lizard), 72 nucleotides long. Lineage: Eukaryota; Metazoa; Chordata; Lepidosauria; Squamata; Phrynosomatidae. The record is from the annotation of a GenBank genome assembly.